Molecule: ribosomal RNA, 253 nt
Filed under: uncultured bacterium
Lineage: Bacteria
Description: partial 16S ribosomal RNA
Rfam family: Bacterial small subunit ribosomal RNA
Source: RNAcentral
UACGAAGGGGGCUUGCGUUGCUCGGAAUCACUGGGCGUAAAGGGUGCGUAGGCGGGUCUUUAAGUCAGGGGUGAAAUCCUGGAGCUCAACUCCAGAACUGCCUUUGAUACUGAAGAUCUUGAGUUCGGGAGAGGUGAGUGGAACUGCGAGUGUAGAGGUGAAAUUCGUAGAUAUUCGCAAGAACACCAGUGGCGAAGGCGGCUCACUGGCCCGAUACUGACGCUGAGGCACGAAAGCGUGGGGAGCAAACAGG